RNAcentral lists this ribosomal RNA (1186 nucleotides) under metagenome. RNAcentral describes it as "bacterial SSU rRNA". It matches the Rfam family "Bacterial small subunit ribosomal RNA", at positions 307 to 1520 of the family's 1533-position model. The record is from RNAcentral.
CCCACAAUGGGACUGAGAGACGGCCCAUACUCCUACGGGAGGCAGCAGCAGGGAAUAUUGCACAAUGGACGGAAGUCUGAUGCAGCGACGCCGCGUGGAUGAUGAAGGCCUUCGGGUCGUAAAAUCCUUUUCGGGGGGAAGAGAAAGGACGGUACCCCCGGAAUAAGCGUCGGCUAACUACGUGCCAGCAGCCGCGGUAAUACGUAGGACGCGAGCGUUAUCCGGAUUUACUGGGCGUAAAGCGUCUGUAGGCGGUCGGGUAAGUUGGACGUGAAAGCUCCGGGCUUAACCCGGAGAGGCCGUUCAAUACUGCUUGACUGGAGGGCGUGAGAGGGGAGCGGAAUUCCCGGUGUAGCGGUAAAAUGCGCAGAUAUCGGGAGGAACACCAGUGGCGAAGGCGGCUCCCUGGUACGAACCUGACGCUGAGAGACGAAAGCUAGGGGAGCGAACAGGAUUAGAGACCCUGGUAGUCCUAGCCCUAAACGCUGGAUGCUAGGUGUGGGGCCGAAUAGGCUCUGUGCCGCAGCUAACGCGUUAAGCAUCCCGCCUGGGGAGUACGGCCGCAAGGUUAAAACUCAAACGAAUUGACGGGGCCCCGCACAAGCAGCGGAGCGUGUGGUUUAAUUCGAUAUUACACGAAGAACCUUACCUGGGUUUGACAUGAAGGUGGUAGGGAAGCGAAAGCAGACCGACUCUUCGGAGAGCCUUCACAGGUGCUGCAUGGCUGUCGUCAGCUCGUGCCGUGAGGUGUCGGGUUAAGUCCCGUAACGAGCGCAACCCUUGCCCUUAGUUACAAGUGUCUAGGGGGACUGCCGGCGGGAAGCCGGAGGAAGGUGGGGAUGAUGUCAAGUCAGCAUGGCCCUUAUGUCCAGGGCUACACACACGCUACAAUGGACGGUACAAAGGGCAGCGAAGCCGCGAGGUGGAGCGAAUCCCAACAAAGCCGUCCUUAGUACGGAUAGCAGGCUGCAACCCGCCUGCUUGAAGCUGGAGUUGCUAGUAACCGCGCGUCAGCUAUAGUGCGGUGAAUACGUUCCCGGGGCUUGUACACACCGCCCGUCACGUCAUGGGAGUCGGUAACGCCUGAAGCCGGUAGCCUAACGCGCAAGCGAGGGCGCUGUCGAAGGCGGGGCUGGCGACUGGGACGAAGUCGUAACAAGGUAGCGGUACCGGGGGGGUGCGGCUG